CGAGUGGCGGACGGGUGAGUAACGCGUGGGUAACCUGCCUCAUACAGGGGGAUAACAGUUAGAAAUGACUGCUAAUACCGCAUAAGACCACAGCACCGCAUGGUGCAGGGGUAAAAACUCCGGUGGUAUGAGAUGGACCCGCGUCUGAUUAGGUAGUUGGUGGGGUAACGGCCUACCAAGCCGACGAUCAGUAGCCGACCUGAGAGGGUGACCGGCCACAUUGGGACUGAGACACGGCCCAA
Molecule: ribosomal RNA, 242 nt
Filed under: uncultured bacterium
Lineage: Bacteria
Description: partial 16S ribosomal RNA
Rfam family: Bacterial small subunit ribosomal RNA
Source: RNAcentral